Sinocyclocheilus anshuiensis is the source of this 162-nucleotide long non-coding RNA. RefSeq lists it as uncharacterized. The transcript is spliced from 2 exons. NCBI's taxonomy places the organism in Eukaryota, Metazoa, Chordata, Actinopteri, Cypriniformes, Cyprinidae. The record is from RefSeq and is a predicted model, not a curated record.
AUGGCUUCAACAACCUGCACCAGGUUUACCGACGAAUAUCAGCUGUAUGAAGAACUGGGAAAAGGAGCCUUUUCUGUGGUGAGAAGAUGUUUGAAAAUCUCUACUGGUCAGGAAUAUGCUGCCAAAAUCAUCAACACCAAAAAGCUGUCUGCCAGAGGUGAG